CACGGGGGGAGCAAGCGUUGUUCGGAAUCACUGGGCGUAAAGGGCGUGUAGGCGGUCAGGCAAGUGGGACGUGAAAUGCCUCGGCUCACCCGAGGAGCGGCGUCCCAUACUGCUUGGCUUGAGUACGGGAGAGGAUGUGGGAAUUCCUGGUGUAGCGGUGAAAUGCGUAGAUAUCAGGAGGAACACCGGUGGCGAAGGCGCACAUCUGGCCCGAUACUGACGCUGAGGCGCGAAAGCUAGGGGAGCAAACGGG
RNAcentral lists this ribosomal RNA (253 nucleotides) under uncultured bacterium. RNAcentral describes it as "partial 16S ribosomal RNA". It matches the Rfam family "Bacterial small subunit ribosomal RNA", at positions 524 to 776 of the family's 1533-position model. The record is from RNAcentral.